This 1156-nucleotide long non-coding RNA is filed under the name Olea europaea subsp. europaea. Lineage: Eukaryota; Viridiplantae; Streptophyta; Magnoliopsida; Lamiales; Oleaceae. The record is from RNAcentral.
UAGCUUUGUUGGGUAUUUUGACCCAAAACCCACAAGUAAUAGCAUAAUAAUCAAACACAGUGCAAGAAAAUAAAACGAACAUAGGAGAUUAUUCACCCAAUUCAAUCAAAAAGGGCCUAAUCUAGGGAGAUUAGAGGUAAGCCCGUCAUUAUGCUAAAAACAUUCAAGAGAGAGUACAACCAGAAUGAAUAAACCAAAUCAGACGCCUAUUUGGUCAUCGAUCCAAAAAGAUCUCGCAAACAACCACCCUAGCUAAACCUUGACUACAAGAAUCCUUUCAAUCGACUCAGUAUAAAUUUAGCAGGCAAUAUUUAGGCCUAAAACACUGCACCAAGAGUCCUAUCAUCAAUAGAUAACCAAAUAUUACUACAGACUCACGAUCAAAAGCAGAUCGCAGAUCGAACAGAAAGGAUGAGCAGACGCAGUAGAGAGAGAAAACUCAAGAACCAAAACAGACUGAAGACCCUUAGAACAAUUGAACUCGAAAAGGCCCCUAUACACCAUAAUGGUUGAGUGGUUAAAUCUUAACCACCAGAUACAAUCAACAAUCUAUAGCGUAUGUAAAGUAGCACAACUCGAGUGACCAAUAAUUAGCCAAUGUGAGAAUGCCAUUUGUCCAGUCUAAGUGAAAGGAGAAUAAAAUGUUUUUCCACUUAUAAAGUUGUGGUCUGAGAAACACAACUUCACAAUUCUUCACCUUAGUUUUCAAACCAUACACCCUCUCUAGUUGCUAUAAUGCAUGUGACAACACAUUGCCCUACAUCAUCGCCCAAGUACCUGCAAGGAAAGAUCAACCUGUAUCAAUAUUAACGAGUAACAAACAAGAUCUGAAUUUAUUAACAUGAAGAAUUUUAAUGCCCAUAUCAGCAGGGUUAAAGUUAGUAUAAAUUUUUUCGAGAACCAUUUCACCUUAUGAGAGCUUUUUUCUUAUGAAAUGGUACUUCACCUCAAUAUGUUAAGACCUUUCAUGAUAGAUGGGGUUCUUACUUAAGAAUAAAGCACUUCGGUUAUCAAUCAAUAUAACUGGUUGUGUAUUCAUAAAAUUCAGUUCACUUAAAAUUCCUUUUAGCCAUAUGCAUUCUUUUACACAUUCAGUGAUCACCACAUAUAAAGCUUCGAUGCUGGAUAAAUUAACAAUGGAUUGAAGUUGACACUU